CUGCCUCCCUCCCUGUACAGUCACCAGAACCCUGGGAGUAAAAUGAGCUGCAUUCUACCAAGUUGAAGUGUCUUCACUUGAAUUCUGGAGGCCACAGCUUCCUCCCCACUAUGGGAAAGAAGAGAAUGCUUGAUGUAAGUCUCCUGACACUGGCUUGGACCCUAAACCCUUGAAUAUCUAUAUUCCCUACAAGACUACAGGGGGCUUCCUUUAUGGCUCAGCAGGUCAAGAAUCCUCCUGCAAUGCGGGAGACAUAGGAGAUAUCGGUUCGAUCUCUGGGUCAGGAAGAUCCUCUGGAAGAGGAAAUGGCAAUCUGCUCCAGUAUUCCUGCCUGAAAAAUGCCAUGAAGAGAAGAGCCUGGCUGGAUAGUCCAAAGGAUCAAAAAGAGUUGAAUACAACUGAGUGACUAAGCAUGCAGAAGACUACAAGCUCUGUUAAGUCUUGGGUCCUACCUAUCUUUAUAACCAUCAUCUACUGACUGAUAAAAUAGGCACUUAAUAUGUGACUUUUGAUUAUAGUAAUGUUGUUAAAUGUCAUCUUUGAGAUUAAAUAAAA
This is a long non-coding RNA of Bubalus bubalis (water buffalo), 555 nucleotides long. RefSeq lists it as uncharacterized. The record is from RefSeq and is a predicted model, not a curated record. Lineage: Eukaryota; Metazoa; Chordata; Mammalia; Artiodactyla; Bovidae. The transcript is spliced from 2 exons.